UUAAAACGUCUGCUUCCAAGAUGUUGUCUAGUAAUGUAACAGUAAGAUGUUCAAGAGGAGAUUAUUUGAUGUGGACAGUUAAACAUGAUGUCAAAGCUGAAAACUUUUUGUAUUUACAUCUACAGUACAAAAUUCUUUGUUUUAAAUAAAAAAUAGCUGUUUACUUUUGCUCAUCUCAUAUGUCUGCUACUUCCAGUUGUAUAUCAUGAUUGCUGAAAGGAGCUAAUUCUCUUUAAACUUGAGAUUCUACCGGGAUGGAAAUGCUUGCUCUGAACUUCCAUCUCUUGGAAAUGUAUUUAUCAUCUUGCUCCAAAUUAUCUGAUUAUUGGUAUUCUUAUUAUGUCUCUUAAA
Molecule: non-coding RNA, 351 nt
Organism: Coffea arabica (coffee)
Lineage: Eukaryota; Viridiplantae; Streptophyta; Magnoliopsida; Gentianales; Rubiaceae
Source: RefSeq, a predicted model, not a curated record